RNAcentral lists this unclassified non-coding RNA (246 nucleotides) under Hevea brasiliensis (rubber tree). Lineage: Eukaryota; Viridiplantae; Streptophyta; Magnoliopsida; Malpighiales; Euphorbiaceae. The record is from RNAcentral.
AGUCAUAUGGAGCUCAAAAAUGAAGUUUUAUUUUCUGAUUAUUUUUUCUCAUCAUGACCUUGGAUACUACCAUUGAAAUAUUUUUUUAAGGUCUAAAUCAUUUGACAUUGCAAGUUGAGAUAUGCAGAUGUUGACUUAGUUUGCUAGCUGGUUUGCUAAAAUCGUUAGUUUACUAACCAGUUUACUGACUGCUCCUAAAAUUUCAUUAGUUUGCUAAUUUAUCAGAGCUGCUCAACUUCGCACAAA